This 429-nucleotide ribosomal RNA is filed under the name Chloroflexota bacterium. RNAcentral describes it as "Chloroflexi bacterium partial 16S ribosomal RNA". It matches the Rfam family "Bacterial small subunit ribosomal RNA", at positions 355 to 776 of the family's 1533-position model. Lineage: Bacteria; Bacillati; Chloroflexota. The record is from RNAcentral.
UGGGGAAUAUUGCACAAUGGGCGCAAGCCUGAUGCAGCCAUGCCGCGUGUGUGAAGAAGGCCUUCGGGUUGUAAAGCACUUUCAGCGGGGAGGAAGGCGUUAAGGUUAAUAACCUUGGCGAUUGACGUUACCCGCAGAAGAAGCACCGGCUAACUCCGUGCCAGCAGCCGCGGUAAUACGGAGGGUGCAAGCGUUAAUCGGAAUUACUGGGCGUAAAGCGCACGCAGGCGGUCUGUCAAGACGGAUGUGAAAUCCCCGGGCUCAACCUGGGAACUGCAUUCGAAACUGGCAGGCUAGAGUCUUGUAGAGGGGGGUAGAAUUCCAGGUGUAGCGGUGAAAUGCGUAGAGAUCGGGAGGCAUACCGGUGGCGAAGGCGGCCCCCUGGACAAAGAAUGACGCUCAGGUGCGAAAGCGUGGGGAGCAAACAGG